This 875-nucleotide ribosomal RNA is filed under the name Chaetopsis canovae. Its description in RNAcentral is "LSU rRNA". It matches the Rfam family "Eukaryotic large subunit ribosomal RNA", at positions 74 to 966 of the family's 3401-position model. Lineage: Eukaryota; Fungi; Ascomycota. The record is from RNAcentral.
AUUACCUCAGUAACGGCGAGUGAAGCGGUAACAGCUCAAAUUUGAAAUCUGGCUCUUUCAGGGUCCGAGUUGUAAUUUGUAGAAGAUGCUUUGGGUGUAGCUCCGGUCUAAGUUCCUUGGAACAGGACGUCAUAGAGGGUGAGAAUCCCGUAUGUGAUCGGUGGCUUUCGCCCGUGUAAAGCUCUUUCGACGAGUCGAGUUGUUUGGGAAUGCAGCUCUAAAUGGGUGGUAUAUUUCAUCUAAAGCUAAAUAUUGGCCAGAGACCGAUAGCGCACAAGUAGAGUGAUCGAAAGAUGAAAAGCACUUUGGAAAGAGAGUUAAACAGUACGUGAAAUUGUUAAAAGGGAAGCGCUUGCAACCAGACUCGCCCGCCGUUGAUCAUCCUCGGUUCUCCGGGGUGCACUCUGCGGCGGUCGGGCCAGCAUCAGUUUCGGUGGUGGGAUAAAGGCCUUGGGAAUGUGGCUGCUUUCGGGCAGUGUUAUAGCCCUCGGUGCAAUGCCGCCUACCGGGACUGAGGACCGCGCUUCGGCUAGGAUGCUGGCGUAAUGGUUGUAAGCGACCCGUCUUGAAACACGGACCAAGGAGUCUAACAUCUAUGCGAGUGUUUGGGUGUCAAACCCAUACGCGUAAUGAAAGUGAACGGAGGUGAGAACCCUUUAGGGUGCAUCAUCGACCGAUCCUGAUGUCUUCGGAUGGAUUUGAGUAAGAGCAUAGCUGUUGGGACCCGAAAGAUGGUGAACUAUGCCUAAAUAGGGUGAAGCCAGAGGAAACUCUGGUGGAGGCUCGCAGCGGUUCUGACGUGCAAAUCGAUCGUCAAAUUUGGGUAUAGGGGCGAGAGACUAAUCGAACCAUCUAGUAGCUGGUUCCUGCCGAAG